RNAcentral lists this non-coding RNA (24 nucleotides) under Cricetulus griseus (Chinese hamster). The record is from RNAcentral. Lineage: Eukaryota; Metazoa; Chordata; Mammalia; Rodentia; Cricetidae.
AGGGUUUCUCUGUGGCUUUGGAGG